AGACACUGCUUUGGGAACUAUCUCUUGUGUUCUCCUUACUUGUUACAAGUAAUAAAAUUGUCUUGCAAAGAAAAAGAAAAAGAAAACUGUCUUCCUAGCCUGGAUAAAAUCUUUCUCUCUUCAAACUCUCUCCUCUGGCAUGUGCUUAGGCUUUUAGGAAUAAAACCCAGGAAGUCCUGUCUCAGACCUCCCAUAAGACAAGGGAGCCCAGGGUCUUCUAUCUGCUUGAAUGCAGGCAGAGAAAAUACAAAAUAUCUCAAAAUGUUAUCGUGUCACAAAUGUUGUCUUGCUUUUGGACUCUUUAGUUCCUGGGUCUGGACCAUGGUAAAUCUGAUUUCCACAACAUGACAUAGAUGCAAAGUGCUUGUGGUAGUUUGAAAUCCAGCUUACUAUAAUGUUGAUUAAGAAACAUGAGUCUCAUCUCCACACAACUGUUAGAAUGACUAUUAUCAAAAAGACGAAUGAUAAUAAGUAUUGGCAAGAGGUAGAGAAGGGGAACUCUUGCACACUUGUGGUAAGACUAUUAAUUAGUAUGGCCAUUAUGAAAAACAGUAUGAAGUUUCCUCAAAAAACUAAAAAUAGAAUUACCAUAUGAUCCAGCAAUCCCACUACUGGGUGUGUAUCCAAAUAAAAUAAAAUCAGUAUGUCAAAGAGAUAUCUGCACUCCCAUGUCCACUGCAGCAUUAUUCACAAUAGCCAAGGCAUGGAAUCCAUCUAAGUGCCCUUCAGUGGAAAAAAUGGAUAAAGUAAGUGUGGAAUAUAUACACAAUGGGACACUCUUCAGCCUUUAAAAAGAAGAAAAUCCUGUUAUUUGCACAACAUGAGUAAACCUGGUGGACAUUAUGUUAAGUGAAAUAGGCCAGGAACAGAAAGACAAAUACUACAUGAUUUCACUUAUAUGUGAAAAAAGUUGAUCUCAUAGAAGUAAAGAGUAGAAUGGUGGUUACCAGAGGCUGGAUGGGGGCAGUUGGAAUUGGGGAGAUGUUCGUCAAAGGAUAUACAAUUUCAGUUAGACAAGAGGAAUAAGUUCAAGAGACCUAUUGUACAACUUGGUGAUAAUAGUUAAUAAUAACGUAUACUUGAAAAUUGCUAAGACAGUAGAUGUAAAUGUAGUAGUAAAAUGUUCUCACCAUAAAAAAUAAGUUUGUGAGGUCACGCAUAUGUUAAUUAGCUUGAUUUAGAUAUUACACAAUGUAUACAUAUUUUAAGACAUCAUGCUGUACACCAUAAUAUAUACAAUUUUUAUUUGUCAAUUAAAACAUUUUUUAAAAAACACAUGAAUCUCAUGGUACAUGGACUUGCAUUAAAGAUUGGGGUUCAAAUUCUGCCCCUUACUACUUACCUAGCAUGGUAAGUAACGAUCUUGGUGUUUUGCCUUUUCUUUCCUUUGCCCCAUCUCUCUACUGCUAUUUAGUUGAGACCUCCAUCAUCUUUCACCAAGAUCAACAUAACAGUCUCCUAACUGGUCUCUCUGUCUCCAAUCUUACCCUCUACAGUCUGUCAUCAAUCCUAAUGAUAAAUGGAAAUGUGGUCAUCCAAAGUCCUCCAUCAAAACCCUUCAGUGACUCCCCAUUGGCCAGAGGGCAAAGUUGGAGCUUCAAAGCAAUGAUUCAUAGUUAAUUCAAUGAUCUUUGUAAUCCUUUAUGAUCAGUUUCCUCUUUUCACUCAGUGGCAGAUACUUGUAGUUGUCCUCAAAUUUCAUACUCUCAUUUUUCUUUAUUAAUAUAACCACACAUUUUUAACUGAGCUCAUUGAUCAUCAUAACAGAGUCUAUUGAAAGUCCUCAGCAGGCGGUGUGACGAUGUGACCAGCUCUGGCCAAGGAGCUGUAGGCAGAAGUGUCUUGCAGCAGCUCCUGUAAAUCUUAAAAGACAGCUGGUGCGUGUCUUUUUUCCUUUUUUUUUCCCUUCCCCCUUCCUGCUGCGCUGAAUAUGGAUAUGGUGAGUGAAUCUAGAGCAGCCAUUUGGAGGUAUGAAGAGAUCUUGGAAAUAGAGGCCAUGUGUGUUGAAACAAGACCGAACAACUCCAAGUUCCUGAAGACUUCAUUUCACCAACCCAGAACCUCCUUGAUCAUCACAGUGGUCGAACCAUUUUACAUUUUCACCAGCAAUGAAGGAGGGUUCCUGUUGCUCUACCAUUUGGUACUGUCAGCGUUUUGGAUAUUAGCCGUCCUAAUAGGUGUUUGACUCUUCCUACAGCCUUUGCAUGGAUGAUUGUCUGUCCUCUGUUGGGCCCCUUCUGAAGAGUUGGAGUUGGUUGCAAACUAUAGAAACCAUUUGGGCUGGUUUGAGCAUAAAAGGAAAUUACUGGGAGUUAUUAGGUGCUCGGUGAUUCAUUGGGAGGUCUGGCAAAAAAGAAGCUCAAGGCUAAGCUCAUAGGAACACAGCCCGGCAUCUCACACAGAAGUGGCUUGAUGAGGAUUCUACUGCCUCCACAGCUCCUGCCAUCAUCUUCAUCUGCACCAUAGAUGCUCAGAACCCAGUCUGUGUCUGCAUGUUGCUGACUUCCAAAUGAGAGCUUCAUGAGAGUGUAUUUGGUUGGUAGAACAUAGGUCCCAGACCUUCUCCCUGGGAGCUGGAAGAGAUGCUGGGAAAUUCUGCCCUGGAAAAAUAAAACUCACAAUGUGGGAAACAAAGAAAAUGUACAGCAGGGGUUUAACAGAAUGACAGGUAUCUGCUAAAGAAAAUAUUGAUUUUUUUUAAAAAAAAAAAAGACAAUUUUCCCUUUAGAGCCCCAGAAAGAUUCAGGCCUUAGAGGCACUAAGUACUAUAGAAAAUGAGGCUGAAGCAUGGGGCUGAAACUUGGUUUGGUUGAAGGUCUCUGGAAGGCAGAGCAGUUUAACCUCUAGGUUCCCUCAUCCACCCCCAUACAGCCAGACAAUUAUCCCUCCACCCUUCUGUUCUCCUCCCCUCUUCCCUUAGAAAACUUGAAGUUUAUUCUCUAGAGAAGUUCCAGGCUCAGUGACACCAGGCCAAGGUGCUGGACUGAAAACAAUUAGAUUAAGUUAAAAUCUGCUUGAUAAGUGUACAAGUAAUCUAUUUUCAAAACCUAAGAGAUGUUGUCAGCUAUCUCUAACUAUAUGCCAGCAGUAGGCCUUCUAGGAAACUGUACUAUGAUUCCAGGAAACUCGAUUGUGGGCUGGGGAAGGACAAUAAAGUGGAUUGUAUGAUCAUCUGCUUCUGUUACUGGAAAGGGAUCCUGAUCCAGACCCCAAGAGAGGGUUCUUGGAUCUUGUGCAAGAAAGAAUUCAGGAGUCCAUAAAGUGAAAGCAAGUUUAUCAGAGAAGUAAAGAAACAAAAGGAUGGCUACCCCAUAGACAGAGAGCCCUGAGGGCUGCUGGUUGGACAUUUUUAUGGUUAUUUCUUGAUCAUAUGCUAAACAAGGGGUAGAUUAUUCAUAAGUUUUCUGGGAAAGGGGAGGUUCCCAAAACUGAGGGUUCCUCCCCUUUUUAGACCAUAUAAGGUAACUUGGGUGUUGCCAUGGCAUUUGUAAACUGUCAUGGCACUGCUGAGAGUGUCUAUUAGCCUGCUAAUGCAUUAUAAUUAACGUACAAUGAGCAGUGAGGAUGACCAGAGGUCACUUUCAUCACCAUCUUGGUUUUGGCCGGCUUCUUUAUGGCAUCCUGUUUUAUCACCAGGGUCUUUAUGACCCGUAUCUUGUGAUAUCAAUCCUGCCGACCUCCUAUCUCAUCCUGUGGCUAAGAAUGUCUAACCUCCUGGGAAUGCUGCCCAGCAGGUCUCAUUCUCAUUUUACCGAGCCCCUACUCAAGAUGGAGUCGCUCUGGUUUGAACGCCUCUGACACUUCCACUCUCAAGGAAUGGUGUUUUUAUUCUCUUCUCCCCAGAAUGUACUUCUGGUCUGUCCCGCUGUUCCAUUCCACAGCAUUUUAGGAGGUUCUCAAGAGUGUCCUAAACAAGCAGAGAAGAAUGGUGAGACUUACCCAUUCCUAGUUUAAGAAAUGAGUGAAAUGGGGUCUGAGUUAUAUCACAGGUGAGCUAGACAUCCUCGAAAUAAAGAGCCAGAGUAUCAGGCAAACCUUCUAAUAGCUAAAAUGAGCGUACUUCUAUUCCUAGCUACAGUUUAGACUCCUGUGGUACAGUUGGCUUUCCCAGGCUCCCGGCGUCCAUGCUGUCUCGGCGCUAUCUCGCAGCCUGACGCCACGCGCCAUCUGCUGGCCUUGAGCUGCAUAGCUCUAGAGUAACUUCAGAGGCCACGGGGGAACAAAGAGCACUCGCCUACUUGACUGAGCUCCGACAGGCCGUCCCUCUGCUUCAGGUGUAGGCGUGAACAAGUCCAGACCACUACCUUAACAGGUAUGAGGAAAAUGAAGACUCUCCUAUUUUGGCACGUAUCUCAAAAUUGUCAUCAUUCACUUAAAGUGCAUAACCACAGAGACCUUCCUACUUAUUUUCUCUGGUGUUUUGAAGUUUUGUCAUGGGAAGAAAAUAGCGCUUCUAGAAACAUGAACUAGACUAAUUACUAAUGGAUUCUUUCUCUUACAUUUUGUACAGUGGAAUAAGGGCUAUUAAUUCAUUAAGCAGUUGGCUUGGAACCUUCUCUGACGACUCUUUGCAAAGAGAGAGAGGUCUAGAAGACUUGUGGGAAGGGAGGAAGUGGUGGUACCUGAUAUUUUCCAAUUUUCCGCAGGUCACUGAUGGGAACUUUGACCAGCAUCCUUGUUCCUCCCUCAACUUAUGGUCACCCUAAAAAAGCUAAGGCAUAGAUUUCAAAUUCUGGAGCCAGUUUUUGUAUUUAGGUCUCCAAGUACAGAGAGAAACUGGCAGACAGGGGUGGAGAAGUAUUGAGAACGAAUUCGGACACCCUGAAAGCGGAGUUCUAGAUCCAGUGUUGCCAGCAACGAGCCAAGAGACCUUUCUUCACAAGUUGAUUUACCUUUCCAUGUUUCAGUUUUCUCAUAAUUCCUGCCCUUAUUCCCUUCUCACCACCCCUGAUCCCCUCCCCUUUCCUGAUUGGGUAACAGGACAGGAAGCAGCAGAGCAUUCUAUGAAGCUUCCUCCUCAACGUCCUAGAGUAGCGGGUCUCAGUCUUCACUACACAGUCAAGUCCCAUGGUGCAUUUUUCAAACUUGCAUACCUGGCCCUUCCUGUGCUGAAUUCUGGUCUGCCCAUAAUUUGCUCCCUCCUUUCUCACUGUUUUCCUUUCUCCCUUCCUUGUUUUCUUUCCUAUCCCUUGCUGUCUCUGUUAGAACUUCUUUUUCCUGGUAUCUAGCCAAUCUCUUAACCCUGUUUUACUUUACUGUCCUAAGAUGCUGUCUUCUCAUGCCUACAUGUACUUUCUUUAAAAAAAAAACUGUUUAAAAAACAUUGUGUGGGAGGAGCCAAGAUGGCCAAAUAGGAACAGCUCCAGCCUACAGCUCCCAGCGUGAGCGAUGCAGAAGAUGGGUGAUUUCUGCAUUUCCAUCUGAGGUACCAGGUUCAUCUCACUAGGGAGUGCCAGACAGUGGGCACAGGUCAGUGGGUGCACGCACCAUGCGCGAGCCGAAGCAGGGCGAGGCUUUGCCUCUCUCAGGAAGCCCAAGGGGUCAGGGAGUUCCCUUUCCUAGUCAAAGAAAGUGGUGACAGACGGCACCUGGAAAAUCGGGUCACUCCCGAAUACUGCGCUUUUCCAACGGGCUUAAAAACUGGCGCACCGGGCCGGGCGCGGUGGCUCACGCCUGUAAUCCCAGCACUUUGGGAGGCCGAGGCGGGCGGAUCACGAGGUCAGGAGAUCGAGACCAUCCCG
This 5741-nucleotide long non-coding RNA is filed under the name Homo sapiens (human). Its description in RNAcentral is "non-protein coding lnc-WIF1-6:4". Lineage: Eukaryota; Metazoa; Chordata; Mammalia; Primates; Hominidae. The record is from RNAcentral.